UACGGGGGGGGCAAGCGUUGUUCGGAAUUACUGGGCGUAAAGGGCUCGUAGGCGGCCAACUAAGUCAUACGUGAAAUCCCUCGGCUUAACCGGGGAACUGCGUCUGAUACUGGAUGGCUUGAGUUCGGGAGAGGGAUGCGGAAUUCCAGGUGUAGCGGUGAAAUGCGUAGAUAUCUGGAGGAACACCGGUGGCGAAGGCGGCAUCCCGGACCGAUACUGACGCUGAUGAGCGAAAGCCAGGGGAGCAAACGGG
Molecule: ribosomal RNA, 253 nt
Filed under: uncultured bacterium
Lineage: Bacteria
Description: partial 16S ribosomal RNA
Rfam family: Bacterial small subunit ribosomal RNA
Source: RNAcentral